AAAAUUUUAAAACAAUCUCUCUUCACUCUCUGUUCUCUCUCUAGUAUCUCUCACAGAGAGGAAGAGAAGAGAUGAUAUCCCUUUUGUUUUUUGGUUUAUGAUCAUUAGAUCAGAGUUAUGUUCGGCUUGUCCGAGUAAAUAUUCCGGUUAGCGGAUUUCUUGUUUUCGCUAUGGCGAUUUUGUUGUGUUCUUCGAUCCGCAACAGAGUUGCUUCAAUUCGUCUUUUUUUUUCUCUGUUUUGUUGGAUCGAUUAAUAAAAUUUCGAGUCAGAGUUUCACUUCUCACUUCGUUCUUAAUUCUAUCCCGUAAAUACCAUCUCAGACACUUGCUUCACUGUCACUUUAACUGUUUUUUAGGAGAAUCAAUCUUCACUUUGUCUUUGCCAUCUAUGGUGUAUUGUGAAGCUUCUUCGAUUGAAAGAAAGUUAGGUAAGAUGGAAUUUUUUGGUCAUCUUUGGAGUAGAUUCAGCAGAGCCGGUGUUAUUUGUAACGGUCCGGCAUAGAGUCUUCCUUCAAUUUCGACUGAAGCUUCCUCAAGCUCAAUCUGGUGAAGCAAACUCCCUCUGCUUUGGUAGUUUACGGUUUAAGUGGAAAGUAUCUCAGGAUUUACAAGCAUAGAUCAUUGAACCGGCGGUGGUAGCUUGUUCUGAUGAGAACUUACGGCGGCGCACUAACACUGGAUCCUCAUCUUGGGCGGAGGCGUGUUACGAAAUUGGAGACGUGGCGAGUUUCUGACCUAGGACACUCAUGCAAGAGCGUUUGAUUACGCGUGUCUCUUAUUGCUUCUGCAGUCAACGCACGUUCCUUAAUACGACACUUUCUCGAAGAUAUUGAUCCAAAUCAAUAUAAUGGAUUGGGGAUUUGAGCUUUAAUUUUAAUUCGAGAUUGUAAAUGAUGGGGAUUGGUUUUAUGAUGUAUUGCUUGUAACUUUGUCCAUUGGGCCAAAGAAAUGAAAUCUAAAGUCGACAAAAAAAAAAAACAUAUGAUGUCGUUUGUAGGAAUUUGGACCCAUCAUUAAAGCCCACCAAAAUGAUUGCCGUUAACUAUAAUGUCCUAAUUUUAUUACCUUCGCCAGUUCGCUGGUUUUAUAAAUUUUAAAACGACAUUUUACAACCCAGUAGCAGUUUAUAGUAAAUAUUUAGAAAAAGACAAGGUAAAAUUUGUUUCGUACUUCUGUUUUAAUAGUUUAGAUUAAAUGUAUUUUUUAUAUAACUCAAAUCAAUCAAUAUAUAAUAUCACAUGAUAUCUUUUGGAAGUGGAGUUGAGUUGUUUUCCCAUAUGUGCCUUUAACAUCAGAGAGCUUACGCAAAUCAUCAAACUUGAGGAUUUUUGUGUCACCACAUAUGGUUCCUACAAUCAAAACUUUCUUGAUGGUUCAAUGACAUAAAUUUCAUAAGACCAAAAUCCAUAAUAAGAUGCUAUGAAACCGAAGUCUAACUACCUCUUGAUCGCUUUCAUCCUCUUUCUUAGAUGUUCCAGUUCCACAAAGCCAUUCAACAGAUUUUUUUUAUUUAUAUCCCUCCCUUACUUAAAAACUGUCGUUUUUGAUUCUUGAUGAUAUUUUCUCUGAUCGAUGGGAUUGUCUUAGAGAAAAAGGAUCUUUAAUGAUGUUUAGGCCAUAAGUUUUAUGCCAUGACUGCAACAUUUUCUUCGGAAGAACUAUUUCAGAUAUAUUCCAAUAGAUUAACGGAAAAGAGAGCGAGGUGAAGAGGGCAGAAGAAAAAGGGUUGUGAUGUAUAAUUAGGGUAUUGUUAGUUUUAAAUGUUUAGUUUUUUUUUUUUUUUUUUUUUUUUUUUUUUUUUAAAAAAGAAAUAAACAUACCUCAAUAAUUAGAUCAAAUCUUGUACUCGUGUACACGCAACCACUUUGUGGAUGACCACUUGUUCCCUUUGAUUACAGCACAUCCACCUGCACAAAGUGGAUCAAAUAACUAAUAUCAUAAAAUCCACUGUAGGACAAACACAGCUCCCAAUCCAUCUAAAACUUAUCUAUAUCUACUGACCGUGAAGACUAGAUGGGUCUAGAGUGGCGUCAGGUGUCAUGCUCCAGAAAAGCAAUGCAUCUCCCAUCUUUGGUUUCACGGACAGCCCUCCUUUCCCGCACUCUGACAGCUCAUUCCACCACGGCACUGCGCUAUAGUUUCCCUUGGCUGAGGGAAACACUGUCUCACCCCCCUCCUCUACAUCUGACCUGCACAGUAGCUAAACAGCGUUAAAAAAAAAAGAAAAAAGAAAAAGAACACAACAGCAACAUCUUGUUGGAGUCCAAAGUCUAUUCAGUUACAUACAGGUACAUGAGAACAGUGGCAAUCCGCUGCCCUCCGUUCCUAGUGUUAUACUCAUCCAUAAAGUAGUCAUAGUGAGGCUCGUACUUUUGCCCUAUUUCAUAGUGCAGAACUUGAAGACCUUCCCCAUGCUCUGCACAUUGUAAGAACCAGUCAAGCAUAUGCUCCACAAAGAGCUGACCCUAAGGAGAAAUGGGAUUUUAAGAAAAGGUAAAAAUAAUAAAGUCUUUCAAGCACAUACCAACUGGUAUGAAGGUAAAAUCUGAUAUCCUUUUCUCGAUUUGACGGAUGAUUUUGUCGCGUCCUCUUGGAAGAAAAGUCCCAGAGCUCGUUCUCACCCUAUUGAGGAGAAGUGGAUGUCAGUAAAAGAGAGGAGGAAAGAAGCCUACUGAUGAUUCACUUGAUAGUUGAAGGAAGACCUGCUAUCUGUGCUCUUUCCAGUCUUCUGAUCGACAACAGUUGACUUCUCCAUAUGCGGUUUAGCUAGCUCUAUUAGAUACUUGCAUUCCUCCUUCGUCUAUCGUGAAUAAUAAUUAACACACGUCCCUAGUCAGUUAGCACACACUAACAACAACUAAUGAAAAUCACUUCCCUAGUUUUACUUUUUCUUUCAAAUCACAGCUAGUGAUCAUAAUAUCACCUACUCUACGGAAUCAAUUGUUGAUAUCUACUGAAAAAAAACAGAUUCGCUCACCAAGAAAUUGUGGUAAAUAGAAGCUCUGGGUUCCCAAGAUAUAAUUUCAACCCAACGCUCAUUCUCCGAAGCAUCUUUGCCGCUUCUGCGGAAUAAAAAGAAUACCAAAGAUGAUGAUAAAUAAACACGCCAGAUCUUAUAUUUGAAUCGGGAUUUUUUUUGGUACCUCUGAAGGUUUUUACGGACAAUGGAAGUGAGAUCAUUGGCCUUGGAUGACCCGCCAUUGUUGCUGGGCAGCGAGAGAAUUCCAAGCGCGAGAAGGAACAAAAUCACGAAAGUGAACAUAAUCAACACCGCGAAGACGAGGGUUGAGUACGACGUUUUCCGACGGUGAUGAUUCCUCUGUCGCGCCAUCAUUUUUGCAAAGGAUCGAUUUCUCAGAUCCGAAAGAAGCAGAGAGGAGCAGCAGUAAGCAAAUCCUCUGCGUAGGAGAGAUUAAACAAACAAACCGGAUGACGGAAGAGGCUUUACAUAGACGGGCCUCAGGCCCAUUUAAUUAGGCCCAAUAAGGGAAGGUGCUUUUCGAAUGAAUGGCAAAAAUAAUCGUCUUCAUCCCCAGAGAGAGAAUCCGAUAAGGCGAGAGAGAGAGAGAGAGAGAAUGCAGCUCGCCACCACCAUUUCUCUACUCCUGCCAUCUCCAUCUCGACUCUCUCCUUCUCUUCAGUCGCUGACUAUCCCCAGGAGAUCAAGCUCUGUCUCAUACUCUUCACAAACGUCGAUUCUCCCGGAUGCCGCCGAUGACUUCACCGUGGGAGACUGUCUCGUCUACGAGGACGGCGUCUUCGAAGACCCUUACCUCGAGGAGGAGGUCAGUCUCGAAGCGGUCAAAGAGCGGAAGAGUCCGAGGCGGCGGGGCAGGGGAAAGAGAAUAGUUCAAGCGGCGGCGGCGGCGGAGAUCGAGCCGGAGAACCUCGUGCCGGAUGAGUGGAGGGAUGUUCAGGCGGAGGUGAACCUGACGAAGAAGGACAAGAGGAAAAUAGCGCAGGAGCUGGAGUUCGGAGUGAGUGUGGAGAAGAAGAGGCAAGGGCUGAUUCCGCUGAGGAAGGUGGAUUUGAAGGAGUAUUUAACGUACAAGGAAGCCAAGCUGGAUCAGUUGAAACCUGUUGUUCUCGAUAAACCGACGACGUUUGAUGGAGAGGGAGGAGAGAGGGGUGAAGAAACGUAUUCGAGUGAGCGAGUAGCACCGAAGAACCCUAGAUGGGCGGUUUAUGGAAAAGGAUUCGAACAAGUCACCAAGUUCUUCAAUAGCGAUAAGUAUGAUCCCAGUGGCAAGAAGCUCGACGGCCCUCGGAAGCUGCUUUCUAAAGAAGAGAAGUUUAUGCUCAAUAGCCGAAAUCCUCACCUAGCUGUUGCCACCUCAGUAAGUGAUUUUUUCUUUUUUUUUUACUAUUUGAUUUUUGAGUUCUGUUUUAAGUUUGAACCAGCAGUAACCUAAUGUUGGUUGUGUUUUUCAGAAAAAGUGGCUUCCUCUUCACACACUGGCAGCUUCGGGAGAAUUUUAUCUGGUUGACUCCUUGCUUAAGCACAAUCUUGAUAUCAAUGCAACGGACGUGGUAUGUGGAUUUUUAUCUGAAUCUUUUGCUCUUUUUGUAUAUAAUCUAGUAGUGUUUUUUUUAAUAUAAUUUGUAUAUGGAAUCUAGGGCGGCUUGACAGCACUUCACCGAGCAAUAAUAGGUAAAAAACAGGCGAUUACAAACUACCUGCUGAGGGAAUCGGCAAACCCGUUUGUUCUUGAUGAUGUAAGUGGUCGGUCACCUUGUAAUAAUCUCUCUCCCUUGCUUCAGAUGCUGCUGCGAUCUGAUUAGUUCGUUUAUGUGUUAGGAAGGUGCGACUUUGAUGCACUAUGCUGUGCAGACAGCAUCAGCUCCCACAAUAAAACUUCUCCUGCUGUAUAACGCUGACAUAAACGCGCAAGACAGGGUAAUGAUGUUAAAACAUUCUUAUAUUAGCGAAUCUGUCAGCUGGUUGGUUAACACAUUGUUUUUUCUUUUAAAUUUCAGGACGGGUGGACGCCCCUGCACGUUGCAGUACAGGCCAGAAGAAGCGACAUCGUGAAACUUCUUUUGAUAAAAGGGGCUGACAUACAAGUGAAGAACAAGGCUAGUUCCAUCACCUUCCCACUAGUCCGCUUUUGUAUUAUUAUCGUUAUUAUGAUUCUGAUGAUGCCGUUUUUUUUUGACUAAUUCCAACAGGAUGGGUUAACUCCGCUGGGCCUUUGCCUCUACCUUGGAAGAGAGACAAGGACGUAUGAAGUGUUGAAAAUGUUGAAAGAGUUUCCCCGUAGUAGACUCAAGAGAUUGGUAACGGAUUAAGCUUUACUGGACCACGCUCUCACAUUUUGGUCGGUGUUUUUCUUUUGCGUUUGUUUUCGCACCGGAAAUUAACAAAGCCGAAAUCAUAUUUACCCAAAAGAAUAUUACUACCUGUAUAAUAUGUAUAAUAUUAAUACUAGAUUUUGAUCCAGGCUUUCAAAACGCAUAAUUUUUUGUUGUUGAAUUAACCCAUCUGGUUUUUCUCUAAUAUGUUUAUACAUAGAUGUUUGAUGUUCAGUUCAGUUCAAUCUCGAUUUUGGUUUAGUUCUAGUUUGGUUGUGGUUAUCUGUUUCUCUAGUUCAAGAGAUAUAAAAACUGUUUAGUUAUUUUUGAAUGUGGGUUUGAUUUCAAUUUGGUUAUUUUGGCUUUCAGUUUGGUUUGAACAACAAUGUUAGAAACCCAAUAAAUUUUUUAGUUCAGUUCUUAUGAAAAAUGCAGGUAAAAAAAACUCUUUUUUAAAAAAGUUUUUUUUAUAAAAUAUCAGAUAAUUUGGAUAAAUUUAAAUAUUUUGAAAUAUAACAUUUGGGUGAUUUGUGUUAAUAGAGAAUUUAGGCUAAUUUUGAAUAUUCUUGAAUACCAAAUAAAAAUCAUUUAAAUCUCUAACAAAUCAAUUGUUAUAUUAGGUGAAAAUUACUAAUGAAAUAAUCUAAAUCUAGAUUUUGACCAGCACGUCCGUGCAGAUAUUUUAUUCAGUUAUAGAUGUUUAAAUAAGGGUGGAACAUAUCAGAUUUGGAUUCGACGGAUCCGUAGAUUAGUAUCUAGAUUAUUCGGAAAAAUAAUUAAAAAAAUUAAAAUACUAAUUUUUUUUAAAAAAUACAUACAUUAAAUAUUUAUACAACAUUAUCAAUAUAUAUUUAUAAGUAUAUAAUAUUAGAAAUUGAAAUAUAAUUUUAUAAAAAUAAUUUUAUGUAUAAAUAAAAUAUAUCAAAUAUAAUGAUUAGUAAAAUUUCAAAAUUAAUAUAUUUUAAAAUACGGAUCUUGAUCCGUAUAUCCAGAUCUAAAAAUCAAGAUACUCAUAUUCAGAUUCAGUUUUGGCGGAUCCAAGAUUUUACUAUUCGAAUCUGAAUUCAGACACCUCUGGUAUCAUAUUUUCAGAGUGGAUCUAAGAUCGAAUCCGACCUUAGAUAAUAAGUCUCAUGCCUAGUUUAAAACAUUUUAGAAAGGCCUAUUUUUAGGUUUUUAACAUUUUAGAAUGACCUCAACUUGUUUUUUCAUAUUUAGCUACUAAAUUUAUCUUUUAAUGAGAUUUUAAUAUCCAUAUCCGGAUUCAGAUGUUCCAGAUAUCCUAUUUUCAAAACGGAUCUCAGAUCGAGUCCAAAUUCUGAAUAAUAAGUCUCCUGUAUUGUUUUAAACAUUUUAGAAUGAUUCUAUUUUUAUGUUUUUAACAUUUUAGAACGACCUCAACUAGUUUGUUCAUGUUUAGCUACUGAAUUUAUUUUUUAAUGAAAUUGUUUUUUUCUACGACUGUGUGUUAAGUAAUCAUUUUAUUUUGUCAAAUAUUCUCUAUGUUUCAUAAUAAGUGUCAUUAUAACAUUUUUUAUUGUUAUGCAAAAAGUGUCACUUUAGAAUUUCAAUGUAAAUAAAUAUAUUUACUUUCAGCUGAAAAUUAAUUGCAAACUGCAUUGAUUUUAUAAAUAAUUUUAUUUAACUCAAAUAUUAUUGGUCAAAUGUGUGUAAUUAAUAACAAUUUUAAUACAUUUCAAUCAAUUUUUUAAUCUGUGUGAAAAAUGUCAAAGUGACACUUAUUAAAAAACGAAGGGAAUAUAACAAUAAAAUGCAGCAUAUUUGAGUUUUAAAUUACCUUUUAUUAUAUUAAAUCUAGAUAUGGUUAUUUAAAUUUGAAAUUUAUAUAUAAAGAUCAAAUUUUAUUUUUAUUAUAUUCGAAAUUAUUUUAUUAAAAAUUUUAUAUAUGAUUUAAAACAAUAUUAUUUGUUGGUAUAUGUUUUGAUAGAUUAUAUUUAUGUAUACAUUUGUUGCCAAUUUAGAUAGUUUGUGUGUGUAUGAAUGUGAUAAAAUUGUAAUAAUACAUAAAUAAAUUUUAGAAUUGUUUUGAUAAUUAGUCACCCCAACAAAAGAGAUAUUGUCGUAUAUGAUAAUAUACAUAUGAUGUCGGUUAAAAUUUUAAAACAAUCUCUCUUCACUCUCUGUUCUCUCUCUAGUAUCUCUCACAGAGAGGAAGAGAAGAGAUGAUAUCCCUUUUGUUUUUUGGUUUAUGAUCAUUAGAUCAGAGUUAUGUUCGGCUUGUCCGAGUAAAUAUUCCGGUUAGCGGAUUUCUUGUUUUCGCUAUGGCGAUUUUGUUGUGUUCUUCGAUCCGCAACAGAGUUGCUUCAAUUCGUCUUUUUUUUUCUCUGUUUUGUUGGAUCGAUUAAUAAAAUUUCGAGUCAGAGUUUCACUUCUCACUUCGUUCUUAAUUCUAUCCCGUAAAUACCAUCUCAGACACUUGCUUCACUGUCACUUUAACUGUUUUUUAGGAGAAUCAAUCUUCACUUUGUCUUUGCCAUCUAUGGUGUAUUGUGAAGCUUCUUCGAUUGAAAGAAAGUUAGGUAAGAUGGAAUUUUUUGGUCAUCUUUGGAGUAGAUUCAGCAGAGCCGGUGUUAUUUGUAACGGUCCGGCAUAGAGUCUUCCUUCAAUUUCGACUGAAGCUUCCUCAAGCUCAAUCUGGUGAAGCAAACUCCCUCUGCUUUGGUAGUUUACGGUUUAAGUGGAAAGUAUCUCAGGAUUUACAAGCAUAGAUCAUUGAACCGGCGGUGGUAGCUUGUUCUGAUGAGAACUUACGGCGGCGCACUAACACUGGAUCCUCAUCUUGGGCGGAGGCGUGUUACGAAAUUGGAGACGUGGCGAGUUUCUGACCUAGGACACUCAUGCAAGAGCGUUUGAUUACGCGUGUCUCUUAUUGCUUCUGCAGUCAACGCACGUUCCUUAAUACGACACUUUCUCGAAGAUAUUGAUCCAAAUCAAUAUAAUGGAUUGGGGAUUUGAGCUUUAAUUUUAAUUCGAGAUUGUAAAUGAUGGGGAUUGGUUUUAUGAUGUAUUGCUUGUAACUUUGUCCAUUGGGCCAAAGAAAUGAAAUCUAAAGUCGACAAAAAAAAAAAACAUAUGAUGUCGUUUGUAGGAAUUUGGAC
This 8411-nucleotide long non-coding RNA is filed under the name Brassica napus (rape). RNAcentral describes it as "long non-coding RNA (BNAP_LNC022598)". Lineage: Eukaryota; Viridiplantae; Streptophyta; Magnoliopsida; Brassicales; Brassicaceae. The record is from RNAcentral.